Non-coding RNA from Meleagris gallopavo (turkey), 7102 nucleotides. NCBI's taxonomy places the organism in Eukaryota, Metazoa, Chordata, Aves, Galliformes, Phasianidae. The record is from RefSeq and is a predicted model, not a curated record.
UCAUUGCCGCUGUUUUGUUUUGGGUCCAUCUCUCUAUCCUUUCCCCUACCCCUUUCUGGGGUGUGGAUCUGUGGGCCCCUUCACCCUGCUAGUCACAGAAUUGAGCCAAAUCAGCCCAAAAAAUGUUGACUGGUAAGUUCUCUGAUUUUAUUUUUUUUUUUAAAUACUGUGUUUGCUCAGUUCUUUCUGAAAAAGACAUUCUAUUCCAUUUAGUUCUGUAUACAAGCAAAAUUGGUUUAUCUGUCGGAGAACUGCCACACACCAUGUCUUCUAUUUGAUUUGCACUACAUAUUUUAAUGGAUUAUCUCUUGCUGCAGGGAUAGUUGUUGUGUUGCCACCUUCAUUUAUUGUCCUCAAAAAUAUGAUGUUUUAGUAUCUACCUGAGAAUGGGAGAAGUUUGAAAGCUAGUUUCCUUUCAAUCAUUUUAUAGUUAAUUGAAGAAGGAAAGCUUCUUUUUUUGAUUAUCAAAGUUACAUGAAAAUUUCAAGGCUUUUUCAAUGGAGCUUACAUUUAUGAUACAUGGGACAUGCGACACAAUUUUGAAUGCAAUUGAUUUGAGCUAACGACAUAGCAUGAAUUAUCUAACCUGUAUAUGCCUUCCAAGAUGAAGCCAUUUGAGGCUAGAUUUCUAAAGGUUUUCACAACCUUAAAGUCUCUUCAGGCAGAAUAUCCAGAAGAGACAAGCAUGAAGACAAUGAAUUUUCAGUAGAUGUCAAAGAGUUCCACUUGCACUGAAACAGCUAGGCAAUCCUCAGUGCUUUCAUCUUUAUCUCUGUGCUCUAGUUUCUCAGCAUUUAUAUGUAGAUGUAGAUGGUAUCACAUAGGUCCUUAACAACUAUGGGAGAGCAAAAGAAAACAAUCACUGUGGACUGUAAAAGUGAACUUCUGUUGUUUCCAUCUUUGUUGCAUGCAGAGCUCUUCUUCUCUGUUCCCCAUGCUAAGGUGAAAGUCAUAUCACUUCAUGUCCCAGAGUCCAUAAAAUGAAUGGAUGAAAUUUCAGGGUUGUAAUGGGAGACUUCUGAAGUAGAACAAUAUAUAGACUGCAGUUUCUCUCCAGAACAACAAGCCACGGAAGUUAGAAGCAGAUUGUUUAAACGACAAAAAAUAUAUGCAGCGCUGAAACUAAGCUGAACUUGAGGGCUGAGUCUAAUAAUCUGCUUUCAUAUUGUAAAUUCUAUGUUUAAUUUACAUUGAAUACAGUUUUGCAAAGAGGAAAUUUGCAUGUGUUGACAGUAUUGAGCCACUGAAGUUGUAUUUGAUUCUAAGAUUCAUGAGUGAACUUUCCAGAUCCCUUUUUAUGUAGUUUGCACUUCAGUGUGUGUGAGACCUGCUAGGGCAAAUCUACAAAAUCAAAGCAAGGAUAUUUUAGAGAAGCUUUUUAACUAUGUUCAAAAAAUAAUUAGUCAGAAACUGAUUGUUUGUAUGGAAUAAAAUAGUGUCCUUCUCUUGAGGUCCCUACUGUAAUAGUUUUGCUAAUUUUCACUUAAUGAUAGUAGUGAAAUUGUUGAAGGUGGAAUCAUUUGUUUCUCAGGUUUAAUUAUUUUACAUAAAAGUUAAUUGUGCAUUAGUGGAACAAGGAUGUUCUUGCUCUAAGAGCUGUUUUUUCUGCUUCUGCUAAUUUGUUUGAAUGAUGUCAUCUAUGCUGUUGCUCCUUGGUCUGUGCUUAGUAAUUUUAGUGCAGCUCCUUCUGGUCAUAGAAUCAUAGAAUAAUUUGAGUUGGAAGGUCCUUUAAAGGUCAUCUAGUCCAACUCUCCUGCAGUGAACAAGGAUGCUUACAGCUAGAUCUGACUGCUCAGAGCUCUGUCCAGACUGACCUUUAAUGUCUCCAUGGACAGGGCACCCACCAUUGAAUCACAGGAUCACAGAAAUGCAGGGGUUGGAAUAGACCUCAAGAGAUCAAGUCCAACCCCUCUGAUAAAGCAGGUGCCAUUUAAUAGGUUGCACAGGUUGGCAUCCAACUGUCUUGAAUAUCUCCAUAGAGGGAGACUUCACAACCUCUGUGGGCAGCCUGAUCCAGUGCUCUGACACCCUUACUGUAAAGAAGUUCUUCUGCGUGUUAGUUCAGAAUUUCCUGUGUUCAGGUUUUAGGCCAUUACUCCUUGUCUAUUCCAGUGCUUCACCAAUAUUAUUGUAAAAGACUUUGUUCUAGUAUCCAAUCUAAAUCUCCCCUCUUUUAGUUUGAAAGCACUUUCUCUUCUCCUAUCACCACAGACACUGCAAAAGAGUCUGUCCCCUUCCUCUUUAUAGUCCCACUUUAGAUACUGAAAGGCCGUUAUCAGGUCUCCAUGGAGCCUUUGCUUCUCUAAGGAGAAGAGCCCCAGCUCUCUCAGCCUGUCCUCAUAGAGGAGGAGUGUCAUCCAUUGGUUCAUAUUUGUGGUCCUCAUCUGGACACAGUCCAACAGGUUGAUGUCUCUCCUGUACUGAGGACUCCACAUCUGGACGCAGUACUUCAGGUGAGACAACACCAUUGCAGAGUAGGGGGGCAGGAUCACUUCCCUCGAGCUGCUGGUCACGCUUGUAUAAGUGCAGCCCAGAAUACGGUUGGCUUUCUGGGCCGUGACAGCAUGUUGCUGACUUAUGUCCAGCUUGCCAUCCACCAUUACCCCCAAGUCAUUUGUGCUCUAUCUAUUGUGAUAGUGGGGGUUGCUGCAAGACCUUGUGCUUGGAUUUGUUAAACCUCAUGAGAUUCACCUGAGCCCACUGCUGGAGCCAGUCUAGGUCACUCUGAAUGGCAUCCUGUUCCUUGGGCAUGUCAACUGCACCACACAGCUUGAUAUCAUCCACAAACUUUCUGAGGGUGCACUCAAUCCCACUGUUAAUUAAUGCAGUUACUAAAGGGCAUCAGUUCCAGUACUGACCCUUGAGGGACACCAUUCUUGACUCAUCUCCACCCAGACAUUGAGCCAUUGACCACCACUCCCUGGGUAUGAUCUCACAACAAUUUCCUCAUCCGCUGAACCAUAAAAUCCAUAUCUUUCCCAUUUGGAGAGAAGGACGUUAUGGUGGACCACAUCAAAGGCCUUGCUGAAGUUGAGAUUGAUGACACCAGUGUCUCUUCCCUUGUCUAUUGAUGCAAUUAUGCCAUCAACAUCAUAGAAGGCCACAGAGUGGAUCAGGUAGGAUGUGCCCUUUGUGAAGUCAUGCUGGCUGUCUCAUAACCCCUCCCUGUUGUCCGUGUGCCUCAGCAUAGUUUCCUGGUGGAUCUGUCCCAUGAUCUUCCCUGGCACAGAGGUGAUGGUUCCCUUUCUACCCUUCAUAAAAAUAAGUAUGAAAUUACCUUUUUUCCAGUCACCAGUGACUACACCUGAUUGCAGCAACUUUUCAAAUAUAAUCAAUGUCUUGGCGACAACAUCAGCCAAUUUUGUCAGGACUCUGGGAUGCAUUUCACUGGAACCCAUAGACUUAUGGCUGUUCAGGCUAAUCAGGUAGCUGUGAAUCUGAUCUUUGCUUAGAUUGGGAGGGACAUUACUUCCCUGGUCCCCAUCUUCCAACCCCUCUCCUUGAAGGGUGUGAAAAGUAUUGUGCAAAGAGUAGUUGCCCAUGAAGACCGAGGCAAAAAUUUAUUCACUGUCUCAGCCUUCUCCUAUAUUGUUUUAAAUCACAGUAACUUUAGUAAUACCUGUGAUUAAAAGCCAUUUCUAGAUGCAUCUUACUUGUUUUACCAACCGUAUGUGUAAAUUAUAACUGGUUAGGUCACUGAAGUAAGUCUAUGCCAUCUCAUUCAGGGUGAUAAUUGGUACAGAAAGUUACAGCCUUGGCUACCAUAAUCUCUAAACCCUAUCUCUAGGAUCUUCUUUCUAGUUUGUGAGUCUCCUCCCACUUUAUUUUCAUGCUGACCCCUGCAGCAGACACAGCUGCCUUGCUGCAGCACUGAGCUUCUGCUAGGUUGUCCCGUGUCUGAUACCUGCCUUUGCUACAUCUUGCCAGCCUCAGCAGCUAUCAUCUGCUGUCUUUUCAAGCACUUAUUCAUCGGAAACUCUGGUCAGACACUUCUCUACUUUGUUUAAAUCACUUCUGUGCUCUUUACUAUGCAAGACAUGAGCCAAAACAUUGACAAUUCUAAAUUCAACAGCUAGGCAAGCUAUAUUUAUUCCAUCGUGGUUCAUUCUGGCUAAAAAGCUGCCUUGUCUUAUUUCAUUAGCUCAAGUUACCCAUUGCACACCUAACUUUUUUUACAUUCAUAAGAACAGGAGAUGGGAAGCUGAGUGGAUGGUGUCUGGGACCCCAGGAAGGCCUCUCCAGUCCAAAGUCUGGGGCUGUGUAGAGCUUAGUACAGUAAGGCCCUUAUCCUCAUUUGCAAGUUGUAUAUGUAUCUGCAAUAGAGAAGUGAAUACAAAUAGUAACACCUUCAUAUGAGAUCUCAUGCUCUUUUGAGAUUUGCAUUCGCAAUGUAUUAACAUAGAUAAGCUUUCACAGAUACUUUUUUCCAUAAGCGUUUUCCACUGUGAAAAUUAAUCUGCAAAGGUUAGCAAAUGGAUAUUGAAGUACUGAAAUACUGUAUAGUUCAGUUAUGCAAAUUAUUAAUUGCUUACAGACUGACUAACUGGCAAAGUGAGAGCAAAGACUGUCACAGAGGUAUUUGUGUAUGACAAAUACAAAGUGUGCUUGGAUCAAUAUUGUGUAGACGAAGAAAUGCACAGCUGAGCUCACCUACCUUUGACACAUAAGCCCAGAUGGAUUUAUUCUCCCAAAACAUCUGGUUGGAUCACAGUGGGAUUGAUCGGAUAUAUAGCAGUUGGGGACUCUAAAGCCCACAACAAGGCUGGAACUCAAGAAUGAGUAUGAUUUUUUCUUAGAAGAUAUGAAGGUCAUUGGAUGUCUGUGGAGAUCUUGUAAUUCUCUGAAAAGUGUUCUGCGCAGCACUUUUUAGUCUAAAAAUCUUCAAUUCGUGUGAGCAAGUAUUUUUAUUUUUCUAUUACUAAACGUACUUCCCCAAUUACUAAGGAAGAUGGUAGAAAACAGAAAAGUUUACGGAGCACAUCUGUCAAAAAGUGAACUUUUCCAUCACUAUCACAUUUCUUCCAGUGUAAGAGGCAGAGGGCAGCCUUGCAUUUCUUUAUUUUCUGUCUUUCUUGGCUAUACUUUGUGUUUUAAUUCCAGAUGUUAUGAGACACAAGGUGGGUUAUUCAAAACUAUUUAUUAGCUAGUUAAAUUGAAAUGCCUUUGCUCUUUGGCCAAGUUUUAUAGGAACCCUCAAAACAUUGGAGUACCUCACAGGCAGUGCCCUACCUUUAUAGAUGACAUCAGUGCAACAGGACUUGAUUUUUCAAUAUAUCUUGAAAUAUAUUUUUCUAACAAGUACACAUUCUUACUUGUAUUUUCUUUCACUGAAAUCAGCCAAGUUGUAUGCAGUCAUGAUUUAUGUCUCCCAAAGGAUCUUAAGAAUUUAAAAUCUAUAAGCCUGAUCCCAAAGUCUUUACUCAGGCAAAAUGCCUGAAAUAAACUGGAGGAUAUAUAAGGCUUCAUAUAACAUUUGGCCUUGAAGAAAAAAUACCAUUAACAAAGGCAAUUAAAGAUAUCAAAGUUGAACUUUGCCUUAUGGGUAUAUGUAUCUAAAAGUAGAGGAGUAAUUAAGAUAGACUAUUACUUAUUCCACAUGCGCAAACUUCCAGCAGUUUCCUUGAUGGACUCUAUCUUUCUGGGAAAAAUCAUCUGCUCCAGAAGAGUGGGCAUUUGUGUGCAUGUAUAUCUUUAUUAACAUUUUAAUUGGGACCAGGAGAGCACUCCCGAGGAGAGCCAUCCCUGCUCACCGUGAGUUUGCAUUGCAGAGCACUCCCCAAGCACAUAGACUGACUGGCUUUUGGACUAAGCCAAGCCAGAAUAUGUGCUUCAGGAGCUAAACUAAUGCACCCCCACUGCUUGCUGGCAUUUGUUCCACAUGGACAGAAUGCAUCUUGUGUAAACCAGCCCCCAUCCCCCUGCCAUGCAGAUAAUUUGGAAGUCAGAUCCUCAGCACCAAUCUUUUUUCUCUCCAGAUCUGCUCAUAUUGGGUUGCAUGACUUGCCAGCAUAGAUACAGCCACAUAUCAUGUUCCCCAUGAUCCUACUACAAAGCAAACUGUAACUGCAGUCUCAGCAACUAACCCACAAGUCUGUUGCACAUCUGUGCUGUGAAGAGGUCUGUGAUAUGUUUUUAUUUUGUGUGUGUGGUGGUGGUGUGUUUUUGUUGCCAUCAUUUCUUUAAAUUUCUAUCAGGGAAUCAUGAAACUAUAAUUAGGGUUUUCUAUUAUAAAAUCUAAUUUAAUUGAAAGAUGUGUUGCUUCUAUCUGCCCUGCUCAGUCAGUGUCUCAAGCUUAGUGUUUUUAAUAGACAAGCCACAUGAUAUAUGAACAUCUCCUACCUGGAAAAUUAACCUGUCUUGAUGGUGGAAAAGUUCGUUUCACAGAAAAUCAACAUCAUCUAGGUUUGUUAGCUGAUAAGUUUCAGUAACAAAUGUUUCUGGUGAUGUUACUUUUGGCAAAUCAGUUAUCUGUGCCAUCUCUCAGCCUCAAUGCUAUGUCUAAGAUGAUUGUGGGCCAGUAACAGGAGUAGGGAUGAAGCUUGGACCACAGUAGUUCAUCUCUAAAAUGCUUGAUACUGCAGAGGAACUGCAGGCUAAUGCAAAUGGAGUGGCACAAGUAAGUCACUAAGAAUAUAGUCUGUAAAUUUUUCAGUAAAAGUUCUAUGUGUACCUUCAACACAUUUCAGAAAGCAUUCGUUCUGUAUUCAAAGUAUGAACUGCCACAAAAUUGGGAUUAUCCAAACUAAUAGAAUGAAUUUUUAAGAAUUCAUGCCUUUAAGAAGGUACCUUUUUAUAAAGUCUUUUCUCAGCCUCAUCUCUCUAUUAGUCCUUUUCCUCUGAGUGGAAAAUUCAUGAAAUAGAAUAACAAGAGAGCACUAGCAAAAGGCAACUGAGACCCCACUGCCUGUACUGUUUUGGAAGUUCCCGAGAGUGAAAAAAAAUAUUGUUGAGGAAGAAGGUUCCAUAAUGCCUUAAGGUAUACUGCAUUCCCUAAAAAUGAUUCCUUAGCAUCUUUCUUUACUAUCUAUAUUACUUUCAGCAUAGUAAAAUUACAGACACACUAGUAAGGAUUUGCUGGGAGCUAUAACAGUCAAAUUUUUUC